GGGGAUUUGGCUCAGUGGUAGAGCGCUUGCCUAGCAUGCACAAAGCCCUGGGUUCGAUCCCCAGCUCUG
RNAcentral lists this transfer RNA (69 nucleotides) under Rattus norvegicus (Norway rat). It matches the Rfam family "tRNA". From Rfam's summary of the family: Transfer RNA (tRNA) molecules are approximately 80 nucleotides in length. Their secondary structure includes four short double-helical elements and three loops (D, anti-codon, and T loops). Lineage: Eukaryota; Metazoa; Chordata; Mammalia; Rodentia; Muridae. The record is from Rfam by way of RNAcentral.